GAAUCUUCCGCAAUGGGCGGAAGCCUGACGGAGCGACGCCGCGUGGGGGAGGAAGGCCUUCGGGUUGUAAACCCCUGUUGUCGGGGAAGAAGGGCCGCGGAGGCGGCAUUGACGGUACCCGACGAGGAAGCCCCGGCUAACUACGUGCCAGCAGCCGCGGUAAUACGUAGGGGGCGAGCGUUGUCCGGAAUGACUGGGCGUAAAGGGCGCGUAGGCGGCCUGUUAAGUCUGCUGUGAAAGGCCACGGCUCAACCGUGGGGGUGCAGCGGAAACUGGCGGGCUUGAGUGCAGGAGAGGUGCGCGGAAUUCCCGGUGUAGCGGUGAAAUGCGUAGAGAUCGGGAGGAACACCGAUGGCGAAGGCAGCGCACUGGCCUGUAACUGACGCUGAGGCGCGAAAGCGUGGGGAGCGAACAG
Molecule: ribosomal RNA, 415 nt
Filed under: uncultured bacterium
Lineage: Bacteria
Description: bacterial SSU rRNA
Rfam family: Bacterial small subunit ribosomal RNA
Source: RNAcentral